This 58-nucleotide transfer RNA is filed under the name Cerion tridentatum costellata. RNAcentral describes it as "tRNA-Ser". Lineage: Eukaryota; Metazoa; Mollusca; Gastropoda; Stylommatophora; Cerionidae. The record is from RNAcentral.
UUAGUUUGAUACAAAGGAUUUUGAAAGUCUUUUAAGAUAGAAUACUCUAUCGACUAAA